UCAUUGCAGAGGAAAUGAAUAUGA
Molecule: non-coding RNA, 24 nt
Filed under: Arabidopsis thaliana (thale cress)
Lineage: Eukaryota; Viridiplantae; Streptophyta; Magnoliopsida; Brassicales; Brassicaceae
Source: RNAcentral